Molecule: ribosomal RNA, 242 nt
Filed under: uncultured bacterium
Lineage: Bacteria
Description: partial 16S ribosomal RNA
Rfam family: Bacterial small subunit ribosomal RNA
Source: RNAcentral
UACGAAGGGGGCUAGCGUUGCUCGGAAUCACUGGGCGUAAAGCGCACGUAGGCGGCUUUUUAAGUCAGAGGUGAAAUCCUGGAGCUCAACUCCAGAACUGCCUUUGAUACUGGAGAGCUUGAGUCCGGGAGAGGUGAGUGGAACUGCGAGUGUAGAGGUGAAAUUCGUAGAUAUUCGCAAGAACACCAGUGGCGAAGGCGGCUCACUGGCCCGGUACUGACGCUGAGGUGCGAAAGCGUGGG